This 59-nucleotide ribosomal RNA is filed under the name Pleosporormiella terricola. Its description in RNAcentral is "Preussia terricola partial 18S ribosomal RNA". Lineage: Eukaryota; Fungi; Ascomycota; Dothideomycetes; Pleosporales; Sporormiaceae. The record is from RNAcentral.
GUUCCCUCCCCCGUACCCUCGGGGAGCGGGAGGGACCUCGUCUGUUUCCCCAACGGUAG